AUGAACGCUGGCGGCGUGCCUCAUCCAUGCAAGUCGCGCGAACGGACGAGAAGCUUGCUUCUCUGAUGUUAGCGGCGGACGGGUGAGUAACACGUGGAUAACCUACCUAUAAGACUGGGAUAACUUCGGGAAACCGGAGCUAAUACCGGAUAAUAUUUUGAACCGCAUGGUUCAAAAGUGAAAGACGGUCUUGCUGUCACUUAUAGAUGGAUCCGCGCUGCAUUAGCUAGUUGGUAAGGUAACGGCUUACCAAGGCAACGAUGCAUAGCCGACCUGAGAGGGUGAUCGGCCACACUGGAACUGAGACACGAUCCAGACUCCUACGGGAGGCAGCAGUAGGGAAUCUUCCGCAAUGGGCGAAAGCCUGACGGAGCAACGCCGCGUGAGUGAUGAAGGUCUUCGGAUCGUAAAACUCUGUUAUUAGGGAAGAACAUAUGUGUAAGUAACUGUGCACAUCUUGACGGUACCUAAUCAGAAAGCCACGGCUAACUACGUG
This 496-nucleotide ribosomal RNA is filed under the name uncultured bacterium. RNAcentral describes it as "partial 16S ribosomal RNA". It matches the Rfam family "Bacterial small subunit ribosomal RNA", at positions 29 to 507 of the family's 1533-position model. The record is from RNAcentral.